GCCGGGCAUGGUGGCGCAUGCCUGUAAUCCCAGCACUUUGGGAGGCCAAGGCAGGCGGAUCACCUGAGGUCAGGAGUUCAAGACCAGCCUGGCCAAUAUGGUGAAACCCUGUCUCUA
RNAcentral lists this non-coding RNA (117 nucleotides) under Gorilla gorilla gorilla (western lowland gorilla). Lineage: Eukaryota; Metazoa; Chordata; Mammalia; Primates; Hominidae. The record is from Rfam by way of RNAcentral.